Molecule: ribosomal RNA, 244 nt
Filed under: uncultured bacterium
Lineage: Bacteria
Description: partial 16S ribosomal RNA
Rfam family: Bacterial small subunit ribosomal RNA
Source: RNAcentral
UUAACCUACGGGGCGCAGCAGUAGGGAAUCUUCCACAAUGGACGAAAGUCUGAUGGAGCAACGCCGCGUGAGUGAAGAAGGGUCUCGGCUCGUAAAGCUCUGUUGGUAGGGAAGAAAGAUAGAGGUAGUAACUGGCCUUUAUUUGACGGUAAUUACUUAGAAAGUCACGGCUAACUACGUGGCAGCAGCCGCGGUAAUACGUAUGUUGCCAGCGUUGUCCGGAUUUAUUGGGCGUAAAGCGAGU